RNAcentral lists this ribosomal RNA (448 nucleotides) under uncultured bacterium. RNAcentral's name for it is "bacterial SSU rRNA". It matches the Rfam family "Bacterial small subunit ribosomal RNA", at positions 29 to 524 of the family's 1533-position model. The record is from RNAcentral.
AACGAACGCUGGCGGCAGGCCUAACACAUGCAAGUCGAACGCCGUAGCAAUACGGAGUGGCAGACGGGUGAGUAACACGUGGGAACGUACCCUUCGGUUCGGAAUAACUCAGGGAAACUUGAGCUAAUACCGGAUACGUCCGAGAGGAGAAAGAUUUAUCGCCGAGGGAUCGGCCCGCGUCUGAUUAGCUUGUUGGUGAGGUAACGGCUCACCAAGGCGACGAUCAGUAGCUGGUCNGAGAGGAUGAUCAGCCACAUUGGGACUGAGACACGGCCCAAACUCCUACGGGAGGCAGCAGUGGGGAAUAUUGGACAAUGGGCGCAAGCCUGAUCCAGCCAUGCCGCGUGAGUGAUGAAGCCCUAGGUUGUAAAGCUCUUUUACCCGGGAAGAUAAUGACUGUACCGGGAGAAUAAGCCCCGGCUAACUUCGUGCCAGCAGCCGCAGUAAU